GAUUAAGUUAUUAAGGGCGCACGGUGGAUGCCUUGGCACUAGAAGCCGAUGAAGGACGUUACUAACGACGAUAUGCUUUGGGGAGCUGUAAGUAAGCUUUGAUCCAGAGAUUUCCGAAUGGGGAAACCCAGCAUGAGUUAUGUCAUGUUAUCGAUAUGUGAAUACAUAGCAUAUCAGAAGGCACACCCGGAGAACUGAAACAUCUUAGUACCCGGAGGAAGAGAAAGAAAAUUCGAUUCCCUUAGUAGCGGCGAGCGAAACGGGAAGAGCCCAAACCAACAAGCUUGCUUGUUGGGGUUGUAGGACACUCUAUACGGAGUUACAAAGGACGACAUUAGACGAAUCAUCUGGAAAGAUGAAUCAAAGAAGGUAAUAAUCCUGUAGUCGAAAAUGUUGUCUCUCUUGAGUGGAUCCUGAGUACGACGGAGCACGUGAAAUUCCGUCGGAAUCUGGGAGGACCAUCUCCUAAGGCUAAAUACUCUCUAGUGACCGAUAGUGAACCAGUACCGUGAGGGAAAGGUGAAAAGCACCCCGGAAGGGGAGUGAAAUAGAACCUGAAACCGUGUGCUUACAAGUAGUCAGAGCCCGUUAAUGGGUGAUGGCGUGCCUUUUGUAGAAUGAACCGGCGAGUUACGAUUUGAUGCAAGGUUAAGCAGUAAAUGUGGAGCCGUAGCGAAAGCGAGUCUGAAUAGGGCGUUUAGUAUUUGGUCGUAGACCCGAAACCAGGUGAUCUACCCUUGGUCAGGUUGAAGUUCAGGUAACACUGAAUGGAGGACCGAACCGACUUACGUUGAAAAGUGAGCGGAUGAACUGAGGGUAGCGGAGAAAUUCCAAUCGAACCUGGAGAUAGCUGGUUCUCUCCGAAAUAGCUUUAGGGCUAGCCUCAAGUGAUGAUUAUUGGAGGUAGAGCACUGUUUGGACGAGGGGCCCCUCUCGGGUUACCGAAUUCAGACAAACUCCGAAUGCCAAUUAAUUUAACUUGGGAGUCAGAACAUGGGUGAUAAGGUCCGUGUUCGAAAGGGAAACAGCCCAGACCACCAGCUAAGGUCCCAAAAUAUAUGUUAAGUGGAAAAGGAUGUGGCGUUGCCCAGACAACUAGGAUGUUGGCUUAGAAGCAGCCAUCAUUUAAAGAGUGCGUAAUAGCUCACUAGUCGAGUGACACUGCGCCGAAAAUGUACCGGGGCUAAACAUAUUACCGAAGCUGUGGAUUGUCCUUUGGACAAUGGUAGGAGAGCGUUCUAAGGGCGUUGAAGCAUGAUCGUAAGGACAUGUGGAGCGCUUAGAAGUGAGAAUGCCGGUGUGAGUAGCGAAAGACGGGUGAGAAUCCCGUCCACCGAUUGACUAAGGUUUCCAGAGGAAGGCUCGUCCGCUCUGGGUUAGUCGGGUCCUAAGCUGAGGCCGACAGGCGUAGGCGAUGGAUAACAGGUUGAUAUUCCUGUACCACCUAUAAUCGUUUUAAUCGAUGGGGGGACGCAGUAGGAUAGGCGAAGCGUGCGAUUGGAUUGCACGUCUAAGCAGUAAGGCUGAGUAUUAGGCAAAUCCGGUACUCGUUAAGGCUGAGCUGUGAUGGGGAGAAGACAUUGUGUCUUCGAGUCGUUGAUUUCACACUGCCGAGAAAAGCCUCU
RNAcentral lists this ribosomal RNA (1625 nucleotides) under Staphylococcus aureus. RNAcentral describes it as "partial 23S ribosomal RNA". It matches the Rfam family "Bacterial large subunit ribosomal RNA", at positions 1 to 1622 of the family's 2925-position model. Lineage: Bacteria; Bacillati; Bacillota; Bacilli; Caryophanales; Staphylococcaceae. The record is from RNAcentral.